UAACAGGCUGAUACCGCCCAAGAGUUCAUAUCGACGGCGGUGUUUGGCACCUCGAUGUCGGCUCAUCACAUCCUGGGGCUGAAGUAGGUCCCAAGGGUAUGGCUGUUCGCCAUUUAAAGUGGUACGCGAGCUGGGUUUAGAACGUCGUGAGACAGUUCGGUCCCUAUCUGCCGUGGGCGCUGGAGAACUGAGGGGGGUCUGCUCCUAGUACGAGAGGACCGGAGUGGACGCAUCACUGGUGUUCGGGUUGUCAUGCCAAUGGCACUGCCCGGUAGCUAAAUGCGGAAGAGAUAAGUGCUGAAAGCAUCUAAGCACGAAACUUGCCCCGAGAUGAGUUCUCCCUGAGACUUUAGGUCUCCUGAAGGAACGUUGAAGACGACGACGUUGAUAGGCCGGGUGUGUAAGCGCAGCGAUGCGUUGAGCUAACCGGUACUAAUGAACCGUGAGGCUUAACCUUACAACGCCGAAG
Molecule: ribosomal RNA, 469 nt
Filed under: Salmonella enterica subsp. enterica serovar Itami str. SA20014991
Lineage: Bacteria; Pseudomonadati; Pseudomonadota; Gammaproteobacteria; Enterobacterales; Enterobacteriaceae
Description: bacterial LSU rRNA
Rfam family: Bacterial large subunit ribosomal RNA
Source: RNAcentral